GACGAACGCUGGCGGCGUGCUUAACACAUGCAAGUCGAGCGGAAAGGCCCUUCGGGGUACUCGAGCGGCGAACGGGUGAGUAACACGUGAGUAACCUGCCCCAGACUUUGGGAUAACCCUCGGAAACGGGGGCUAAUACCGGAUACGACACAGCUUCGCAUGGGGUCUGUGUGGAAAGUUUUUCGGUUUGGGAUGGGCUCGCGGCCUAUCAGCUUGUUGGUGGGGUGAUGGCCUACCAAGGCGACGACGGGUAGCCGGCCUGAGAGGGCGACCGGCCACACGGGGGCUGAGACACGGCCCAGCCCCCUACGGGGGGCAGGAGGGGGGAAUAUUGCACAAGGGGCGGAAGCCGGAUGCAGCGACGCCGGGUGAGGGAUGCCGGCCUUCGGGUUGUAAACCUUUUUCAGCAGGGACGAAGGGUAAGGGACGGUACCUGCAGAAGAAGCGCCGGCCAACUACGU
RNAcentral lists this ribosomal RNA (461 nucleotides) under uncultured bacterium. RNAcentral describes it as "partial 16S ribosomal RNA". It matches the Rfam family "Bacterial small subunit ribosomal RNA", at positions 28 to 506 of the family's 1533-position model. The record is from RNAcentral.